Molecule: non-coding RNA, 1150 nt
Organism: Plasmodium billcollinsi
Lineage: Eukaryota; Apicomplexa; Aconoidasida; Haemosporida; Plasmodiidae
Source: the annotation of a GenBank genome assembly
UUCAUAUUUGAUAUUUUAUAUAAAAGUAUAUAUUAUUGGCAUAUGGUUAAGUUUAACUUUUUUUUGUUCAUUAAAAAAAGUUAAAUUUAAAAGUUGAAUAUAAAGAAGGUUUAAUAUGGACAUAUACAUAUAUACUUGUAUUCUCUAGUUAAUAUAUUUUAUUAUUUACUAUUAAUAUAAGAAAUUCUUGACAUAUGAGAAUAAAUCAUUGUCUCAUAUUAAAUUAAUAAAAAAUAUGGAUCACGUGAUAUUUGUUAUUUCGUUGUUUCAAAUUUUAAGGUAAUGUAUAUAAUAAAUGUACACAAAAUAUGUACAAUUAUAUAUAUAUAUAUAUAUAUAUAUAUAUAUAUAUAUAUAAUAUAUUUUAUAUAAAUAGAAAUAUUGUGCAUAAUGUAUUCAUAUAUUUCUUGAAAAAUAUUUAUACCUUCAUUUUUUUUUUAACAUUCAAUGGGAAAAUAUGAUAAUUGUAAAAAUAUACAGAUGAUGUUCUGUCAAACGAUAUAGUAGGCAUAUCACAUAUAAAUUAUCAUGUAUGUCAUAUAAAUUGUUAUGUAUGAAAUAUUAAAUAUAUUGUAUAUAAAUAUAUAGCCUUUAAAAUAUAUACAUUUUGUAACAUAUAAAUAAUACACAUAUUACAUAUAUAGAAUUUUAUUUAAAAAAAUAAUUUCCAUAUCUCAAUAUUUUUUUUUACACACAAAGUAAUAUGCACUUCAAAUGAGAUGUAUAAUAUGUAUAAUAACAUAUUUUAUUUAUGUACAUUUUUUUUAAUAUAUUUUAACAAAAUGUAAAAAUAAUAUAACUAACAAAAAAAAAAAAAAAAAAAAAAAAAAAAAAAAAAAUUGUAGUAUGGUAAUAAUAUACAUUAUUUCACAUAUUUAUGAUACUAUAAAUUAUUAUUUAUUUUUUUUUUUUUUUUUUGUGUUAUAUUGUAAAAUGGGAACUGCAUAUGCAUGUAAUUUUUAUGUAUAUAUAUAUAUAAUAUUUUUCUUUAUUUUUUAUAUGUGUAUUAUUUUAUAUCAUAUUAUAUUUUACCACGUUUACACGUAACGCAUGUUAAUUUUUUUUUGUCAGCGCAUCGGAUAUAUGAUAUCUAAAAAGAAGAAAUAAAAUAUGAAAAGUUUAAAAUAUAUAAAAAAAUAAAUAUCUUUUU